This 200-nucleotide ribosomal RNA is filed under the name uncultured bacterium. RNAcentral's name for it is "partial 16S ribosomal RNA". It matches the Rfam family "Bacterial small subunit ribosomal RNA", at positions 32 to 215 of the family's 1533-position model. The record is from RNAcentral.
AAUCAACGCUGGCGGCGUGCCUAACACAUGCAAGUCGAACGCGAAAGCCCCGAAAGGGGCAAGUAGAGUGGCAAACGGGUGAGUAACACGUGGGUGACCUGCCUUCGAGCGGGGGAUAACGUCCCGAAAGGGACGCUAAUACCGCAUAACAUCCUGCCUUUGAAGAGGUGGAGAUCAAAGCUGGGGAUCGCAAGACCCGG